This 100-nucleotide small RNA is filed under the name Dickeya solani. Lineage: Bacteria; Pseudomonadati; Pseudomonadota; Gammaproteobacteria; Enterobacterales; Pectobacteriaceae. The record is from RNAcentral.
UGUGAUGCAGCCCGCAACAAAUGCCAACUUUUAGCGCACGGCUCUCUCCCAAGAGCCAUUUCCCUAGACCGGGCACAGGAAUCGUGUUCGGUCUUUUUUU